AUUGCUGUCUGCUGUGAUGCAAGGAGGAAGGACCACACUAUGACAUGAUGCAAUUCCAGCUGCACUUCCAGCACUGCAUGACCUCACCAUGGCAUUACCAGCAAUGAAGUUUCUACUGGUUUCCAGUCCUAGGCUUGUACAGAGCACCAGCUGCUGAGGCCAUUUGAAUGCAAGUGAAAAAAUCCAGAUGAUAUCUUUUCACAUGACUAAGUUCCACCAGCAAAAGAAACUGCUUUAGGAGGCCGUAUACAUAUCAGAAGCUCAAAUGCAAGGCAAAUUAAUCCUUCAGAGGCCCAUCUUUGCAUACAAAACUACUCACGUAGAUACACUUUUAAUAUACCUUUAAAAGACAGGAGCUAGAGGACACCAGGCCUGUCCACUUCUCAGGGCAAGUGGUAGGAACACUUGCCCAAGAAAGCAUGUGGGGUGCCAUGCAGGUUGCUCCUUAUUCUCAGUGGGUUUACACUCCCUCUCCUCUCCUCUCCAUCAGCAGAAGGCUAAUACUAAACAGUUACAGCUUCAUGUACGUGGGAGAGAAGUAACAUGAACAAAAAUACAGCAGAGUGUGCUGUUCAACCUAGCAGUAGGGCACAAGGGUGGUUGGGCUCUUGAGCUGUGGAACUAUAGAAAUAGUUGAGAUUAGCAACUGUGCAUUUUCUUAUUUCCAAUUAUUCUUCUAGGUUAUGUAAUGAGAUUCCUGGUGCAGUGAAAUGCCCAAUGCAUAACUUUGUUGAACUAAGAUUUUGGCUCCAAGAGGAGGUUAUGCCCAUGCUAGGUAUCUAGGUGCUUCAAAAGGGAACUGAUACAUCAUCAUCAGUGCCCAAGGCAUGUUCAGAAGAAUCAUGGAAACAUUUAGUGUCCUAUGAACCUGUUCAGCUUCCAGCACUGAAAUGGCUUUCAAGGGUAAUACUGGCAUUUGUUGAAGCAUCUGUUUCCCAGAGGUGUGCUUGUUAUUGAUCAGCUCACAAAGAAGGUCUGCCCAUAAUGAAAGCAGAAGGGUUCAUGUAGGUAUGGUUCAGAAAGGAAGAGAAGAGAAGAGAAAGGAUGGGAAGAGAAGGCAAGCCAAGGCCAGGCAAGGCAGGACAGUAAGGUACAAUACUCAAAAUCAGUCAUACCUCUCCAACUUCUGAAUUUUCUGUAAGCAAAACCAAUGUAGUGCCAAAUUCAUUCUUAAUUAACAACCUUGACGUUGGAAAAAAACACCUUUUUUUUUCUCACAAUGCUACCUAAAGAUAUGCUAUGCCAAUGCCUGUUUAAAUGCUUAAAUACUUGAGGUUUGUUAAGAAAAUGUGUUUCUAAACAUAUUUUAUCAAGUGAAGUAGAUUUGAGAAAAAAACAACAGAAUUACCCCUGCAUUUUUGUAGUUAGAGGAAUAAUAUUGUUUUGUUCCACCAAUGUGUCUACUUUACAUUGUUCAGCACAAAGCUUUGUGGAAUAAGAAUCAUGGGAAUAUCACAAUAUAAAGGAAAAAGGUACAAAUAACAGCUUCAUAAACUGAGAAAUGUACAUAAAUAAAUCAUGUAGAUGGGGGCAGUUUGCUUAGCUGGCAAGAAAAAAAAAAAGGAAAAUAUGCUUGUUAAACAAUAACCACAGAGUGUGCUUUUAUGAUGUUUUUCACCACAGUAAUUCAUAUUAGAGAUAGAAGCAGUUGCAUGUUAAAUAAAAUCAUUCAGCAUUGUUCGCCUCACAUUACAAAGAGCUGACUUAUGUUGUUUUUAGAUGCCUCCCAUUAGAAAGUAAAUAUUCCUCUGAUGUUAUACAUUUCAGAAAAUUUAAUAAAGAUGAACUGUAAAUAAAGUCACAGGGAGAUUUCAGACAGUUUUAUUAGCAGAUUGUUGAAAAGAAAAGAAAAUUAAAUACAAUAACAGUAAACGUGGUUCUCACAUUGAAACCAGGCUCAAAUAACUAGGCUACCAUAGAAAAAUUUCCAAUUCUUGCAUUAUGAUGUAAAAACAGAUUUUUGUACAGAUUUUGUACAACAAAAUUCGUAAUAACCUUUUUUCAUUUUUAGAAAACUUUAAAUAUAUAGAUAAAAAUAGACAAUUUUCAUAGGUCCUACAUGAAGAUGAGUAUGUUCUGUUCCAAGGGCUUGCAUAGAGCGCAAAUAUGGUUAUAAUAUAGAACAACUAGACAUUAAUAUCUUUAAGAUUACAAAAGCAUAUAAACAAUAACAUGAGGACAACUUUUCUUCAUAAUCUAUGCAAAAAAAAAAAAAUCCAAAUCAAAACCCAAAACCAAAACACCAACCCAAAACCUGUAAAACUAAAGAGGGGCAAAAAACUUCAACUUACGGUAACAUCUCAUGGUCUGUAAUAUUUACACUGUUUUUAGCAAGAUUCUUUCUAAACAUCCAGCUCAUAAAUUGGUUCCCCUUUAAUCCUUAACACUUCUGUUUAUGUACCAAGCCAAACACUGAGGCAUUCCCAAAGGUCUUGAAAGAAUAUACUGUAAAACUACUAAACCUACUUACAGGUGACUCUAUGCAAGGAGCAGAGCAAUGGUAAAUGCUAGUACAUAUUUCAGUUGUAGGCUUUUAAUUCUCUUUCAGAUAUGAAUGAUUCAAAAGCUUGCCACAAGUCCAUCUAACUUUACAGCUGUUAACCCUUUAAAGACUGCAUAUGAAAAAACUGGAGUACAGAAUCCCAUGUGUGUUUAAGCAACUAUGACAAUCAAGAAGGACUCAUGGUUAGAAAACAACAUCACUACAAAGUAUUAGACAACAAUAUUUAAUGAAAAAUAUUGCUCAAUAUUUCUUUAAAAAAAUUACUGUGAUGUGAACUUGUAUAUACAUCUUUCUAUUGUUAAAAAAGGAUUGUGGUGGAGUAAAUAUGAACUGCACAAAAUAAAUGUGUACCAGUAUUGUGAGGAAGACCUACAAACUAUAGAAGCUCAGUGCUAGAGUUUACAAAACAUUAGAUUUUUUUUUGACAAAAUAAUAUUAAUAUCCAAUCAGAACUACUUUUAAAGAAAUAUUUGCUUUAAGUUAGGCAUCUUAAACAUUUAAGGUUUUGAUAUGUUUCCGUGUAAUAAAUAAUAUUUUAUAUGCAUAAAACAUUAGAUGAAGAAAGCAUAAUCACAAAACUUACAGUAAUAGCACUGAUUCACAAAAUCAGUCUUUAAAGGGGUAACCCAAAAGUAUGCAAAGCAAAGAACAUAAUUUUUAGUAAUGUAAUAAGCAGUGUUUUGCAGCUUACUUCCAGUUAUCAGCACAAAGGUGAAAACACAUAUUGUAGCUUUCAUAAAGACAGUGAAAGUAACACAUAACCAUCCAUCCCUAAGACAAGGUGGGAGGGACAAUAGACUUCAACUGUAUCACUCAGUUCUACGUGGAAUUGGACUGAUACAUCAAGUGUUUGUUAGGUUUUCUUUUUUUUAGCAACAUUGACGUAAUAUGACAUUAACAUAUAAAAAUAUUUCUGGCAUUUUGACUUGCUGCUCAGCCACAGUCCAUUCUUAGAAGUGCACUAGUCAGGGCACUAACCAGGGCUCAAUAUACAAAUAAAAGUGGCUGAUACAGAAUUCUGACUUGUUACCAGAUGCUUAAGAUCUCAUUCAGUAAUACUGUGACUCCAGGACAAAUAUUUACAUGCCUGCAUGCGUUAAAACUAGAAAGGUGUCUUUCUGACCAACAGGGUGACAAAACAAUAUUAUCUAAAAGUUUCAUUUCCUAAACUCUAGAUUUCUACUGCAUACAUAAUACCUUCCUUGUGUGAUUUGUGUUAUAUACUGUACAUGUGACCAACAUUUUGAUAAGAAGCAAAGUCUUUUAUUUCAUAAACCCCUGCCAGUUUACAAUGAGAAAUUAUUAUUUUUUUUUUUUAAAUUUUAUUUUAGGAAAAGAGACUUUGUGAAUGGUAAAACAGUUUGUUUACAUUCAGCAUUUCUUUUCACUUACACAAAAUUCCAUUUCACUUAAUGUAGUCUUACAUAUAUGUGUUGGUCUCUUGGAAA
Molecule: long non-coding RNA, 3951 nt
Organism: Passer domesticus (house sparrow)
Lineage: Eukaryota; Metazoa; Chordata; Aves; Passeriformes; Passeridae
Exons: 3
Source: RefSeq, a predicted model, not a curated record